GGGACUAUAGCUCAGUCGGUUAGAGCACUACACUGAUAAUGUAGGGGUCGCUGGUUCGAGUCCAGCUAGUCCCA
This 74-nucleotide transfer RNA is filed under the name Tongtianella jiaweipingae. RNAcentral's name for it is "Actinomyces sp. zg-332 tRNA-Ile". It matches the Rfam family "tRNA". From Rfam's summary of the family: Transfer RNA (tRNA) molecules are approximately 80 nucleotides in length. Their secondary structure includes four short double-helical elements and three loops (D, anti-codon, and T loops). The record is from RNAcentral. Lineage: Bacteria; Bacillati; Actinomycetota; Actinomycetes; Actinomycetales; Actinomycetaceae.